GCAGUGCUGGCUCAGCGGUAGAAUUCUCGCCUUCCAAGCAGGAGACCCAGGUUUAAUUCCUGGUCAGUGCA
Molecule: transfer RNA, 71 nt
Filed under: Loxodonta africana (African savanna elephant)
Lineage: Eukaryota; Metazoa; Chordata; Mammalia; Proboscidea; Elephantidae
Rfam family: tRNA
About the family: Transfer RNA (tRNA) molecules are approximately 80 nucleotides in length. Their secondary structure includes four short double-helical elements and three loops (D, anti-codon, and T loops).
Source: Rfam by way of RNAcentral